RNAcentral lists this ribosomal RNA (788 nucleotides) under Triticum aestivum (bread wheat). Its description in RNAcentral is "partial small subunit ribosomal RNA". Lineage: Eukaryota; Viridiplantae; Streptophyta; Magnoliopsida; Poales; Poaceae. The record is from RNAcentral.
UUGGUCAGAGUUGGAGACAAACGACGUAUGACGUGUCGAAUAAACGAAUCCUUUCCACUGGCUCACUAGUACCUAUCGAGAAGUCUACGGGUGUCGGCCUUGUUCACGCGCCGCACGAUGGCGGUCAAGUUGUCCUACCUCGUGGACCACCUCGUGUACGCGCGCAGCGUGGUGAGCGGCGUGCUCGGCGCGACGCCGCAGACGCCCUUCGUGACGGCGAGGGAGCUGCGGGAGGCACUGGUGGAGCCGAAGCCGCGGAGGGACGGGGGCUUCGGGCGGACGCGGUGCCGGAAACGACGGUUCCCGACGGGCGAGACGGAGCGGCAGAAGGGAUCGAGGUCGAGGGAGGCGCGGGUGCCGGGUUGGACGGUGGUGAGGGCGCGAGGCCAAGGGAGCUCCCCCCGAUACGGCUCUUACGGGCAGCCGCCGCACCACCGCGACCCCACGUUCUACCACCCGCCGCCCUCGCUGCCCUGCGACCUGGACACGCCCGCGCAGACGCAGUAGCUGCUCUUACUCUGGUAGCAGAAGCUCUUGAAACACUCCGGCGAGGAGGGCCACUGCGUGAUGGCCAUGCUCUGGUGCCCCUAGGCGGGGCUCAUGGACGCCCUGCGCGGCUGCCACUUCUACCACGUCGCCGUCCACCUCCCGUAGGAGGAGUUGCCGCUCGUCGGCACCUUCCAGGCCAGGAGCGCGCCGCGCCGGUCCUAGGAGCAGCCGGUGCCGGACCUCGUGCUAGAGCUGCGCGACCCGUACCUGAUGGGCCGCAUGGACUUCGCCCUGUGCCG